AUGUACCAGUCGUACACUCCGGUUCCUGCGCGCCGUCCGCACCUACCUGACGACUGCUCGCUAGGUUUUGUUAGCC
Molecule: small RNA, 76 nt
Filed under: Xanthomonas prunicola
Lineage: Bacteria; Pseudomonadati; Pseudomonadota; Gammaproteobacteria; Lysobacterales; Lysobacteraceae
Description: sX9 sRNA
Rfam family: Xanthomonas sRNA sX9
Source: RNAcentral